Molecule: long non-coding RNA, 837 nt
Organism: Heterocephalus glaber (naked mole-rat)
Lineage: Eukaryota; Metazoa; Chordata; Mammalia; Rodentia; Bathyergidae
Source: RefSeq, a predicted model, not a curated record
UCCCAGAGGGCCAGGCCCCAGCGGGUGCCUCGGCUCCCUAGUUGUCUAGGCAGUAGGCACCUGCCAGGGUGGUGGGGAGGACGCCAGCUGUGAGGCAGCCAGGGACGCAGGAAGGAGAGAUGUGCGUCUCGGGAGGCCCUUCUGCCUGGGGAGGUGAUAGAGACAAACAACGGUUGACUGCUGCAGAAAUAGGGUGCUAUUGUUUCAGGCAAAUCUGCAGUCCCAUGCUGACAAGAAUAUCCUGAGUCAGGAGCUGCCUUUUACAAGGCCUCCCUGUGACCCCUGGAAACCUGCAUCUUGGAGCUGUAUAUGAUGUCACUUCCAGACCUCAGAGCCCUGCACAGGACUCAGAUUGCUGCUGCUUGACUGAGCUGUGAGAGUCACAAUACUGAUGGAGGAUCGUUCAGCAGUUUUGGCCACUGUGUACAGCACCCUGCUCCACAUUGGGAGCAAUGCUGGGGAGUCCAGGAUGGCCCCUGCCCUCACACAGGGCUUGAAAUGUAGUCACUGGGUCCCGGCAUGGGGGCAACACAGCCAUUUUCCUAGCACUUUAGGGGGCUGAGGCAGGAGGCUUAUUCAAGCCCAGCCUGAGCAAUUUAGUGACUUAGCAAGACGGUCCAGAAAAAUAAAUGCUAGGGAUGCAGCUCAGUGUGAAGGCCCUGGGUUCAAUGCCCAGUACAGAAAAAUAUAAGCAAGCCAGCAAACAGAAGCACUUUGGGUUAAAUACACAAUAUUUUCUUAUGAAUCUUCUAUGAGAUGAUUUUUUUAUAUAGCAAAACAUUUACUGGUACAUUUCAGGCAUAUUAAUAAGAUGAUUAAUAAAGUUCUUUCAUCUUU